GUCGUGUGUGUGUGUGUGUGUGUGUCUCCAUGUGUGUUAAAGAGCGAGAGAGAGAAAAGAAAAGAGACUCCCAUCGUUGCUUAAAAUGGUGUUUUGAGCACCCUUUGGUUGUCAAAUGCUGGUGCCUUUUGUUGCAGCCUGGAUCAAGAAGCCACCAUGGUUUUCCUUCAAGGUAAAUUUUGUCCUUUGUCCUUGCUACGUCUGCGUCUACGCUCGUGUCCAGGGGGCGAUAUCGCGCGUUGGACAGACGUAGCUUAGAGGGCAACAGAGGGACAGAACCAAACGGCGCAGACAAAGGACUUCAAGAAACAGGGUGGAAAGAUGAAUGAGGCUGAAACUAAAAUGAAGAAUGCACAGGAGAAAGCUGCCAAAACAUUUAAGAAGGCAUCAGAGAGACGAGUCGAGGAAAGCCGAGUGUGUCAAAUUGCUUCCACAAGCGCAGAUGACUUUUUUUUUUUUUUUUUUUACAUUUAGCCAUUGAACAUAUGUUGUCGAUCCACAGGAGCCCAGGAAGUGAAACUGAAGCCAGCACUUGGAGCACAGGAUGCAUCCAUAUAGUGAAUUUGCACUCUGCACCGUCUGCAUUGACAAACCCAGUGGCGGUUAAAGGUAGAAGGUGUAAAAAAAAAAGGGGGGGCAGCAAAGAAGGUAAAGAUUGAGAUUGAGAUUGAGAAGACUCUGUGGAGGCGAGAGGAGAAGAAAGACAUGAUGCUUCAUUAGAGAAAGAGACGUUGUGCGAAAGAGAAAUGGGAGAUCACAACAUUUGGGAUGGCUGGUUACAAAACGAAACGCACAAAAAAAGCAUCACAAUACUUUUUUAAGGAUAAUGCAUAAACAGUUGACCUCUUUCUGUCUUUACAUUUUUUUUAAAUGGACAACCUGUCACUGGUUCUAAAAGAUGUCAUGCACGCCUGCUUGUUAUUUAGUUUUACCGGCGUGAGCAGAGGGGUAAUUGCAUUCUAGUGAGUGGCUGUAACACCUUGAUGUCUGUGGCUUUGAUGCUCGCGUGGAGAGAAGGGAGACGAGCUGAGGGCAGACACUAAUAGGCAGAGAGCGGGCAAAGAGGAAAAGCUGAUGCCCGGAUGCUUCAAGGAGAUGAGUUUAUUAAAUGAAGGAGGAAGAUCAAUGGCGGAGAUCUUAACAUGAUUCCAGAGGGUUUCUUUUUUUUCUGUGUUUUCUGUUAAUGGUCACAUUGUUAUUAAUGCGUUGCAGUAUACAGGUGAGGAUGAACUUCUGUUUACAGGUGAGGAUGAACACUUGUGUACAGGUGAGGAUGAACUUCUGUUUACAGGUGAGGAUGAACACUUGUGUACAGGUGAGGAUGAACACCUGUGUACAGGUGAGGAUGAACACAUGUAUCGUAGAGACGAUUUGUGUUUAUUUGUAUUUAUAUCUAAAUGUGAAAGAAUCCCAGGUCAGGUUUUAGGAAACGGUUUCUUGGCCAAGUCAC
Long non-coding RNA from Gasterosteus aculeatus aculeatus (three-spined stickleback), 1450 nucleotides. Lineage: Eukaryota; Metazoa; Chordata; Actinopteri; Perciformes; Gasterosteidae. The record is from Ensembl.